UUAUAGGAUCUUUAGCUGAUUUUAUAAUGUUUAUUAUUUUACUGUCAUCUGCAUACAACAUUAUAUAGUUUUGGAUAUUAUCAGGUAAGUCAUUGAUAAAGAUUAAGAAUAAAAGUGGCUCUAAAACUGAGCCCUGAGGUACACCACUGAUAACUGGUAACCAGUUUGAUACAUAAUCUCCUAGAAUAACUUGCUGUCUUCUGUUAUGUAAAAAAUCUUCUAUCCAUUUUAAAAUAUCUCCAACAAUACCGUAAGAUUCUAUCUUUUUUAUUAAUCUGGCAUGUGGCACUUUAUCAAACGCCUUAGCAAAAUCUAAAUACAACAAAUCUACUGAAUAAUUCUUUUCUAAGAUAUCUGUAAUUAUAUCUAAUGUUUCCAACAAAUUAGUGACACAAUUUUUAUUUUUUCUAAACCUGUGUUGAUUUUCAUUUAAUACACCAUUUUCAAUUAGAUGAUCCAUAACUACAUCAUGGAUAAUUGAAUCAAUUAUCUUAAAUGGAAUUGAUGAUAAAGAUAUUGGUCUGUAAUUAAGUACAUCAUUUCUAUCUCCUUUUUUAAACAAAAGAGAAAUAUUUGCAUAUUUCCAUAAAUGAGGUAAUUUUUUUUCUGAUAAUGACUUAUGGUAUAAUAAUGAUAGUGGUAUGCUUAUAGUUUUACAACACUUUUUUAAUACAUAAAGACUAAUUCCAUCAACACCAAUAGCUUUAUUAACAUCAAGUUUUUGAAGUUUUUUUUCUAUUGUUUUACGACUAGUUAUAUCAUUUAUAUUAAUAAGUAGGGUGCUAUUCGUUUUAGGUACUAUAUAUGAAAUAUUUUUUGUAUCUUUAUCUACAAAUACGGAAUUAAAACUAUUAUUCAACACGUUUGCUAUAUCAUCUUCAUUGAUUACAAUGUUUCCAUCCAUAUCAUAAAUAGAGGUGCCCGAAGAAGACCUAACGGUCUUGUCACAGAGCACCGCGGAAGUGUAUUUAACCAGGAAGCUGACACCUUCUUCCUUACCGUGACAUGAAAAUAUGUUAAGAGCUCGUUUCGAAUCUGGAUCUCCUGCUUAUAAAGCAAGUACUCUAACCAUUGUGCCACGGCCGCACAAUAUCACGUUGUGACGGGCGUAUUUUGAUCUAUAUCUGUAAAAAUAUAAAUGAAAAUUCUGAACAGUUUAUUUUUUAUAAUACAGUUACGCUUUCAUAUAUUUCAA
Hydra vulgaris (swiftwater hydra) is the source of this 1195-nucleotide long non-coding RNA. RefSeq lists it as uncharacterized. Lineage: Eukaryota; Metazoa; Cnidaria; Hydrozoa; Anthoathecata; Hydridae. The record is from RefSeq and is a predicted model, not a curated record.